RNAcentral lists this ribosomal RNA (301 nucleotides) under uncultured bacterium. RNAcentral's name for it is "partial 16S ribosomal RNA". It matches the Rfam family "Bacterial small subunit ribosomal RNA", at positions 509 to 807 of the family's 1533-position model. The record is from RNAcentral.
CAGUAGCCGCGGGAAUACGUAGGGUGCAAGCGUUAAUCGGAAUUACUGGGCGUAAAGCGUGCGCAGGCGGUUAUAUAAGACAGAUGUGAAAUCCCCGGGCUCAACCUGGGAACUGCAUUUGUGACUGUAUAGCUAGAGUACGGCAGAGGGGGAUGUAAUUCCGCGUGUAGCAGUGAAAUGCGUAGAUAUGCGGAGGAACACCGAUGGCGAAGGCAAUCCCCUGGGCCUGUACUGACGCUCAUGCACGAAAGCGUGGGGAGCAAACAGGAUUAGAUACCCGCGUAGUCCCUGUCUCUUAUAC